This 243-nucleotide unclassified non-coding RNA is filed under the name Hevea brasiliensis (rubber tree). Lineage: Eukaryota; Viridiplantae; Streptophyta; Magnoliopsida; Malpighiales; Euphorbiaceae. The record is from RNAcentral.
UUUUUUUUUUUUUUUUUUUUUUUACGUAAAAAAAACCAUUCAACAUGUUUCAUAGAAAAUCACAAACAUCUCUCAAACUUCUAGCAAAAUGUGGUCUUCAAUAUUAUAACAACGAAGAGAUAAGUUCCCAGACUAAUAUGGCACAUUCUUGGGAAGGUUCCUGAUAACAUUAUUCUUCAAGCCAAUUUUGGUACGCGUUGCCUCUACACCUGAGCGAUUCAUUUCCUUCAUCACUUUCAUCCU